RNAcentral lists this ribosomal RNA (741 nucleotides) under uncultured Melanogaster. RNAcentral describes it as "eukaryotic LSU rRNA". The stretch from base 293 to 447 matches the Rfam family "5.8S ribosomal RNA". The record is from RNAcentral. Lineage: Eukaryota; Fungi; Basidiomycota; Agaricomycetes; Boletales; Melanogastraceae.
AGGAUCAUUAUCGGAAAAGCAAUCUGGGGGGAAGGCGAGCGAGGGAAGUUCUGGUAGAUCGNGGGGAUUGUCGCUGGGCUUUGGAAACGAAGGCAUGGGCACGUUCCGAGUUCUCCUUGGACCUCGUCUUUCCUUUCCUUUGGACGACCUUUUUUCACACCUGUGCACCCAUUGUAGGUCCCGCAAGGGAUCUAUGUCUUUAUCUACCCCAAACGUAUGUCCAGAAUGUCAUUAAAUACAUGUCGACCGGGCUGGCUAACGCCUCGUCGGCGACGGUAUAUAAAAAUAAUACAACUUUCAGCAACGGAUCUCUUGGCUCUCGCAUCGAUGAAGAACGCAGCGAAUUGCGAUACGUAAUGUGAAUUGCAGAUUUUCAGUGAAUCAUCGAAUCUUUGAACGCACCUUGCGCUCCUUGGUAUUCCGAGGAGCAUGCCUGUUUGAGUGUCAUUGAAUUCUCAACCAUCUUUCGAUUGAUUUCGAAGGGUGGCUUGGAUUUUGGGAGUUGCCGGCUGACCUUUUGGGACGGGUCGGCUCUCCUUAAAAGCAUUAGCGAAAGGUGGCAAGCCCUGCAUGCAUGGCCUUCGACGUGAUAAUGAUCGUCGUGGCUGGAGUGCGAGGCAUAGACGUCCCUUUGCUUCUAAACAUCGUACUGGGGACUUUGCUUCGGCGGAGGACCCAUUACUUUCUCGACGCUUGACCUCAAAUCAGGUAGGACUACCCGCUGAACUUAAGCAUAUCAUA